CAGCAGCCACGGUAAUACGAAGGGGGCUAGCGUUGCUCGGAAUGACUGGGCGUAAAGGGCGCGUAGGCGGAUUGUUUAGUUAGGCGUGAAAUUCCUGGGCUUAACCUGGGGACUGCGCUUAAUACAGGCAGUCUAGAGUGAGGAAGAGGGUUGUGGAAUUCCCAGUGUAGAGGUGAAAUUCGUAGAUAUUGGGAAGAACACCGGUGGCGAAGGCGGCAACCUGGUCCUUGACUGACGCUGAGGCGCGAAAGCGUGGGGAGCAAACAGGAAUAGAUACCCCCGUAGUCCCUGUCUCUUAUAC
RNAcentral lists this ribosomal RNA (301 nucleotides) under uncultured bacterium. RNAcentral describes it as "partial 16S ribosomal RNA". It matches the Rfam family "Bacterial small subunit ribosomal RNA", at positions 509 to 807 of the family's 1533-position model. The record is from RNAcentral.